UAGAGAGGCCUUAGUUUAAUUAAAGCGUCUGAUUUGCAAUCAGGAGAUGUAGAGAAGUUCUAUAGGUUUUA
This 71-nucleotide transfer RNA is filed under the name Diporiphora albilabris. Its description in RNAcentral is "tRNA-Ala". It matches the Rfam family "tRNA". Rfam says of the family: Transfer RNA (tRNA) molecules are approximately 80 nucleotides in length. Their secondary structure includes four short double-helical elements and three loops (D, anti-codon, and T loops). Lineage: Eukaryota; Metazoa; Chordata; Lepidosauria; Squamata; Agamidae. The record is from RNAcentral.